GACGAACGCUGGCGGCGUGCUUAACACAUGCAAGUCGAACGGUGAAGCGCCUUCCUUUUUGGUGGGUGUGGAUGAGUGGCGAACGGGUGAGUAACACGUGAGUAACCUGCCCCCUUCUUCUGGAUAACCGCAUGAAAGUGUGGCUAAUACGGGAUAUUCUGGGUCUGUCGCAUGAUGGGUCUGGGAAAGAUAUUGUUUCGGUGGGGGAUGGGCUCGCGGCCUAUCAGCUUGUUGGUGGGGUGAUGGCCUACCAAGGCGGUGACGGGUAGCCGGCCUGAGAGGGUGGACGGUCACACUGGGACUGAGCCACGGCCCAGACUCCUGCGGGAGGCAGCAGUGGGGAAUAUUGCACAAUGGGCGCAAGCCUGAUGCAGCGACGCCGCGUGAGGGAUGGAGGCCUUCGGGUUGUGAACCUCUUUCGCCAGUGAAGCAGGCCUGCCUCGUUUGUGGGUGGGUUGACGGUAGCUGGAUAAGAAGCGCCGGCUAACUACGUG
This 494-nucleotide ribosomal RNA is filed under the name uncultured bacterium. Its description in RNAcentral is "partial 16S ribosomal RNA". It matches the Rfam family "Bacterial small subunit ribosomal RNA", at positions 28 to 507 of the family's 1533-position model. The record is from RNAcentral.